This 406-nucleotide ribosomal RNA is filed under the name uncultured bacterium. Its description in RNAcentral is "partial 16S ribosomal RNA". It matches the Rfam family "Bacterial small subunit ribosomal RNA", at positions 30 to 526 of the family's 1533-position model. The record is from RNAcentral.
AUUGAACGCUGGCGGCAGGCCUAACACGUGCAAGUCGAACGAGUGGCGGACGGGUGAGUAAUGUCUGGGACACUGCCUGAAGGAGGGGGAUAACUACUGGAACCGGUAGCUAAUACCGAAAACCAUCGGAUGAGAGCAGAUGGGAUUAGCCAGUAGGUGGGGUAAAGGCUUACCUAUGCGACGAUCCCUAGCUGGUCUGAGAGGAUGACCGGCCACACUGGAACUGAGACACGGUCCAGACUCCUACGGGAGGCAGCAGUGGGGAAUAUUGCACAAUGGGCGCAAGCCUGAUGGAGCCAUGCCGCGUGUAUGAAGAAGGCCUUCGGGUUGUAAAGUUCUUUCAGCAGGGAGGCGUUACCCGCUGAAGAAGCCCCGGCUAACUCCGUGCCAGCAGCCGCGGUAAUUC